Molecule: ribosomal RNA, 497 nt
Filed under: uncultured bacterium
Lineage: Bacteria
Description: partial 16S ribosomal RNA
Rfam family: Bacterial small subunit ribosomal RNA
Source: RNAcentral
GAUGAACGCUGGCGGCGUGCCUAAUACAUGCAAGUCGAGCGAACAGACGAGGAGCUUGCUCUUCUGACGUUAGCGGCGGACGGGUGAGUAACACGUGGAUAACCUACCUAUAAGACUGGGAUAACUUCGGGAAACCGGAGCUAAUACCGGAUAAUAUAUUGAACCGCAUGGUUCAAUAGUGAAAGACGGCUUUGCUGUCACUUAUAGAUGGAUCCGCGCCGCAUUAGCUAGUUGGUAAGGUAACGGCUUACCAAGGCAACGAUGCGUAGCCGACCUGAGAGGGUGAUCAGCCACACUGGAACUGAGACACGGUCCAGACUCCUACGGGAGGCAGCAGUAGGGAAUCUUCCGCAAUGGGCGAAAGCCUGACGGAGCAACGCCGCGUGAGUGAUGAAGGUCUUCGGAUCGUAAAACUCUGUUAUUAGGGAAGAACAAAUGUGUAAGUAACUAUGCACGUCUUGACGGUACCUAAUCAGAAAGCCACGGCUAACUACGUG